Molecule: long non-coding RNA, 840 nt
Filed under: Taeniopygia guttata (zebra finch)
Lineage: Eukaryota; Metazoa; Chordata; Aves; Passeriformes; Estrildidae
Description: lncRNA (ENSTGUG00000022080.1)
Source: RNAcentral
UUACCCCCUAAUUACCCCCUAAUCACCCCUAAUUUGCAUAUCCCCCCAUUUAGCGGGCGAGCUCGUCAGCCUGGGCGCUCUGGCCGCGCUGGCCCCGCCCCGCCCCGCCCCCCCCGCCGCGGGGGGCGUGGCCAAACCCGCGGGGCCCCUCCCCCCUCCGGCCCCGCCCCCCGCGCAGGCCCCGCCCCCUCUGACGUUGCAGCUGCAGGGCGGGAAAGUGACGCUCGGCCCCGCCCCCCCAUUACGUCACCUGGCGCUGGCCCCGCCCCCCGCGCGCGGAUUGGCCCGUCACGUGGUGCACCUGGUGGCCGCGGGGGGGCAGCACCUGCUGGCCCCGCCCACCCAGCUGGCCCUGCUGGCGCCCCUGGGAGCCCCCGCGGCGGGGGGCGGGGCCGGGGGCGGGGCCGGGGGCGGGGCCGGGGUGGCCACGCCCCCUCCGCCCCCCGCGGGGCUCGGGCUCCCCCUGGCGGCGGCGCAAGGUCAGGCAGGAAGGGGUUAAACACACCUGGGGGGGGUAAAUGCACCUGGGGGGGCACCUGGGCACACCUGGGCACUCACCUGGGCACACCUGGGGGUAUCUGGGCACACCUGAGAGGGGUUAAACACACCUGAGAACUCACCUGGGCACACCUGGGGGGGGGGAAAUAUACCUGGGGGGGGUUAGACACACCUGAGGGGGGGUUAAACACACCUGAGAACUCACCUGGGGGGGGUAAACACACCUGGGCACACCUGGAUGGGGUUAAACACACCUGGGGGCACCUGGGCACACCUGGGGGUACCUGGGAGGUACUUGGGGGCUCACCUGGGCAUAGCUGGGCACACCUGGGGGUACCUGGG